GAUGAAGAACGUAGCGAAAUGCGAUACUUGGUGUGAAUUGCAGAAUCCCGUGAACCAUCGAGUCUUUGAACGCAAGUUGCGCCCGAAGCCAUCAGGUUGAGGGCACGUCUGCCUGGGCGUCACAUAUCGUUGCCCAAUGCCUAUUGCAGUGCAAUAGGAAUUUCUAGGGCGAAUGAUGGCUUCCCGUGAGCGUUGUUGCCUCGCGGUUGGUUGAAAAUCGAGUCCUUGGUAGGGUGUGCCAUGGUAGAUGGUGGUCGAGUUAGAACGAUACCGAUCAUGUGCAUGCUCCCCAAAAUAUGGCCUCUAUGACCCACACGCGUCUUUUGACGCUCAUGACGAGACCUCAGGUCAGGAGGGGCUACCCGCUGAAUUUAAGCAUAUCAAUAAGCGGAGGA
Molecule: unclassified non-coding RNA, 395 nt
Filed under: soil metagenome
Description: partial contains 5.8S ribosomal RNA, internal transcribed spacer 2, and large subunit ribosomal RNA
Rfam family: 5.8S ribosomal RNA (bases 1-122)
Source: RNAcentral